This 497-nucleotide ribosomal RNA is filed under the name uncultured bacterium. RNAcentral's name for it is "partial 16S ribosomal RNA". It matches the Rfam family "Bacterial small subunit ribosomal RNA", at positions 28 to 507 of the family's 1533-position model. The record is from RNAcentral.
GAUGAACGCUGGCGGCGUGCCUAAUACAUGCAAGUCGAGCGAACGGACGAGAAGCUUGCUUCUCUGAUGUUAGCGGCGGACGGGUGAGUAACACGUGGAUAACCUACCUAUAAGACUGGGAUAACUUCGGGAAACCGGAGCUAAUACCGGAUAAUAUUUUGAACCGCAUGGUUCAAAAGUGAAAGACGGUCUUGCUGUCACUUAUAGAUGGAUCCGCGCUGCAUUAGCUAGUUGGUAAGGUAACGGCUUACCAAGGCAACGAUGCAUAGCCGACCUGAGAGGGUGAUCGGCUACACUGGAACUGAGACACGGUCCAGACUCCUACGGGAGGCAGCAGUAGGGAAUCUUCCGCAAUGGGCGAAAGCCUGACGGAGCAACGCCGCGUGAGUGAUGAAGGUCUUCGGAUCGUAAAACUCUGUUAUUAGGGAAGAACAUAUGUGUAAGUAACUGUGCACAUCUUGACGGUACCUAAUUAGAAAGCCACGGCUAACUACGUG